This is a long non-coding RNA of Equus caballus (horse), 2469 nucleotides long. The record is from Ensembl. NCBI's taxonomy places the organism in Eukaryota, Metazoa, Chordata, Mammalia, Perissodactyla, Equidae.
UUUGUGCCUUGGGUAAAUGUCCUAACAUUUAAGUAGUUUAAGUAUUUCCUGAGAUGCUGGAAUCCAAAACUUUUAUUCCAAAAUAAGACCUGACACUGCUGCUAAUGCAGAGAACAUCUCAUUACCAAACUUUGAGACUUCUCUCUACAUUGUGGGAUAUUUUAGAAACCAAUUCACUGGUCCUGUUCACUGAUUAUCUCAAGGCAAGUGGGUGCUAUUGAUUUGUUAGCCACUAUGGUCCCAAACCCGACUUGGACAGUGAAACACAGGUAGCAGGUGGACUGUUCAGAAGAAGCUUAGAGGACAGAAUGGAAGCUGGAAGAUCCAUUAGAAAUUGUUCUAAGUAGGACAGAGAAAAUAGGAAGUAGGAGACAAGAUGACUACCCCCAGAGAAAGGAUGGCUCAGAGAGAGUAAAUUUUGUUGAGGGCUGUGCCUCGGGGACACACCAGAUGAGUCAGCCAGCUGCCACAGUUUGACUAGAAAGCAGGAAGUAAAGCCAUGUUGACCACAGUUGCCAGAGGCAAAGCCAGCAAGAAUUAGAAGAGGAGAGGCGCUUGUAAGCCCAGGAGGUUAGCUGAGAGGAUUUUUCUCCAAGACAACUCAUUCAGGAAAGCUGAGAGAUCACUCAAAAGGAUGAGCCUCACCUGAAAGCCCCAGGGAGCAACAAAGAGCCAAAAGGACUGUGUGAAAGAAACAGGCUUCGUAGACUACAUUCCACAGAAAUUAUGAAUCUUUACAGUUAUAAUUGUAUACAAAAUUUGUUGUUCAUUAAGAUUUUAAAUAUAUCUUUGUGGACUACUGCUUACCCUGUAUGCCCUAAGGAGCAGUAAAAAAUGAGAAGUCAGCCACUUGGAAAUAUUCUGUGAAAGUAAUUCCUCUGGAAAAUGAGUAGAAUACGGAGUAAAGAGAUAUUUGAUACUCAUCCUUGCCGAAGAAAACAUGCAAAAUCAAAAUGUUAAUCUGGUCUACCCUAAACAUUCUCCAGCAGUAUACCCUAAAUAUUCUCUAGCAGUAUGACCAAUGCAUUACAAAUAAGCAGCUGCUCCUUCAAAAUGUUAACUGAAACCUCCAACAAUAUAUAUCACAGCAACUCCAUGGGAAAAGCAUUUCUACAGUUUUACGAAAGAGCACACUUAGGUUCAAAGGUGAAAUGAUUCUCACUCAAAAUCGCAACAGCUGCCUGUACCUGGACAGUGACAGACCUCCUACAAACUGAGGACAUGAACAGAGUUCACAGAAAGAAAAACGCAAAUGCCAAUAAAAACAUUGAACCUCAACUGCAUCAAAAUCAGAGAGAUCAACACUAAAGCAACAAAUACUGCACACCUUUUAUGUAUCAAGUUGGCACAUUUAAGGAGUUCAAACUUUUCCGAUGACGAAAAGGAUGUGCAGGUGAAAGCAUUCUCCUUCAUUCCUGGUAGGUAUGUGAAUUGCUACAACUUUUUGGAAAGUCAUCUAAUUAAUACCUAGUACAAUUAAAAAUUCCUUUACAUUUUAGUGAUUGACUAGAGAAAGAUUAGUCUUUUCAACAAAUAGCACUGAAGCAAUGGGACAACUAUAGGUGAGAAAAAUGAAGCUGAGAUUACUUCAGUCAUGUGUCAUCUGCUCAAUACAAGAGCAGAGGUCUCUUUAUUUCAAGUCAACAAUGAUUUCCAGUGGGCUCGGUAGUCACUAAUCAGAACUUUUAAAGUAACUUUUCUUUAUCUGUUCAACUUUGCAUAUGGAAUACCAUGUAUUUUUCUGCCAGAGAUUCUUUUAUGGCACUAUAAAGUCAUCCUGGAAGUCUGACUAUGACUCUGCUUUGCAUAAAGUGGAGAAACACAAAAUUCUGAAAAUGAAUUUCAGCCAGCGAAACUUUUCUCAAGAAGACAAAAUCCCACGAGGUCUUGUUUUCAACAUACGUGCACACUACAUAUUUUCAUGAUCAAAGCAAGUCAACAUUAUUACAAGAAAAAUAGCUCUCAGAAUUAUACUACAACUGGAUCAACUUUUCGGCAUUGACCUCCGCUGUUAUUAGUCGGAAUAAUACUCUCAGACCUUAAAGAAUUAUGGCUGAAAAUGCUUGUAAUUGCCCUUGUGAUUUAAAUAACGAUGAUGCUUGGGUUGUGCCUUUUCUCCCCCCAGAGCUAUUUGUAGUUGUACCAACAAACUUGACGGGUAGAAUUUGGCCUCUUACUCAUAACUUCGAAAACAAAUGUCUCAUGCACAUUUUAGGCAACUAUGUAUAACAAUUUAUGUCAGCCCCAGCUUCUAAGCAAAUAUUGUAUAAAAAAAGUUGUUACCUACUCUGUUUCCAUAAAAAAUCUUUAACUCUGUAAAAGUUGGAAAAGAAAGUUAGAUUUUAAAUAAAAGUUAUUUUCAAUAUCUCAAAGAAAACUGCCUCGUGUGUUUAUUAAAUUGACUUUGCACAGGCGAAAUAGAAAACUGAAACAAGUAUUUUUAAAAAAAGAAUGAUGGGGCCAGCCCGG